UCUCAGUUCGGAUUGAAGGCUGAAAUUCGCCUUCAUGAAGCCGGAAUUGCUAGUAAUGGCAGGUCAGCAUACUGCCGUGAAUACGUUCCCGGGCCUUGUACACACCGCCCGUCACACCAUGGGAGUUUGUAACGCCCAAAGUCGGUGGCCUAACCUUUAUGGAGGGAGCCGCCUAAGGCGGGACAGAUGACUGGGGUGAAGUCGUAACAAGGUAAC
This 216-nucleotide ribosomal RNA is filed under the name uncultured bacterium. RNAcentral's name for it is "partial 16S ribosomal RNA". It matches the Rfam family "Bacterial small subunit ribosomal RNA", at positions 1286 to 1500 of the family's 1533-position model. The record is from RNAcentral.